GAUGAACGCUGGCGGCGUGCCUAAUACAUGCAAGUCGAGCGAACAGACGAGGAGCUUGCUCCUUUGUCGUUAGCGGCGGACGGGUGAGUAACACGUGGGUAACCUACCUAUAAGACUGGGAUAACUUCGGGAAACCGGAGCUAAUACCGGAUAAUAUUUCGAACCGCAUGGUUCGAUAGUGAAAGAUGGCUUUGCUAUCACUUAUAGAUGGACCUGCGCCGUAUUAGCUAGUUGGUAAGGUAACGGCUUACCAAGGCAACGAUACGUAGCCGACCUGAGAGGGUGAUCGGCCACACUGGAACUGAGACACGGUCCAGACUCCUACGGGAGGCAGCAGUAGGGAAUCUUCCGCAAUGGGCGAAAGCCUGACGGAGCAACGCCGCGUGAGUGAUGAAGGUCUUCGGAUCGUAAAACUCUGUUAUUAGGGAAGAACAAACGUGUAAGUAACUGUGCACGUCUUGACGGUACCUAAUCAGAAAGCCACGGCUAACUACGUG
RNAcentral lists this ribosomal RNA (497 nucleotides) under uncultured bacterium. Its description in RNAcentral is "partial 16S ribosomal RNA". It matches the Rfam family "Bacterial small subunit ribosomal RNA", at positions 28 to 507 of the family's 1533-position model. The record is from RNAcentral.